This 255-nucleotide ribosomal RNA is filed under the name uncultured bacterium. Its description in RNAcentral is "partial 16S ribosomal RNA". It matches the Rfam family "Bacterial small subunit ribosomal RNA", at positions 238 to 485 of the family's 1533-position model. The record is from RNAcentral.
GGAUUAGCUAGUUGGUGGGGUAAAGGCCUACCAAGGCGACGAUCUGUAGCGGGUCUGAGAGGAUGAUCCGCCACACUGGGACUGAGACACGGCCCAGACUCCUACGGGAGGCAGCAGUGGGGAAUAUUGGACAAUGGGGGGAACCCUGAUCCAGCCAUGCCGCGCGUGCGAAGAAGGCCUUAUGGUUGUAAAGCACUUAAGCGAGGAGGAGGCUACUGAGACUAAUACUCUUGGAUAGAGGACGUUACUCGCAGA